Molecule: long non-coding RNA, 446 nt
Filed under: Zonotrichia albicollis (white-throated sparrow)
Lineage: Eukaryota; Metazoa; Chordata; Aves; Passeriformes; Passerellidae
Description: lncRNA (ENSZALG00000001711.1)
Source: RNAcentral
CCAAUUUGGGGUCACCUGGGCACAGCUGGGCACACCUGGGCACACCUGGGCACUGCUGAACUCACCUGGGCACACCUGGGCACACCUGGGCACUGCUGAACUCACCUGGGCACACCUGGGGUGGAUUUUUGGGGUUUUUUUGGGGUUUUUUUGGGGUCUCUGAAGAACUUUUGGGGAUUCUUUGGGGUCUGUCACUGCCUGGAACUGCUGCACUGACUCACCUGGGCACCCCUGGCACACCUGGGCACCCCUGGCACACCUGAACUCACCUGGCUGCCGCUGCCGCUGCUGCUGCUGCAUUAAACUCAUCCCUGAGAGACCCCGGGAGUGGUUUUGGGGUUUGGGGGUUUAGGGGGGCCCCAAAAUUCACCUGAGAGGUCCCAAACUCACCUGAGGGGGCACCUGGGAAAUCCCAAACUCACCUGGGGGACCCCAAAACUCACCUG